RNAcentral lists this ribosomal RNA (450 nucleotides) under uncultured bacterium. Its description in RNAcentral is "bacterial SSU rRNA". It matches the Rfam family "Bacterial small subunit ribosomal RNA", at positions 46 to 507 of the family's 1533-position model. The record is from RNAcentral.
GCUUAAAACAUGCAAGUCGAACGAGGUUAAUUGAAGCUUGCUUCGAGUUGACCGAGUGGCGGACGGGUGAGUAACGCGUGAACAACCUGCCCUAUACACUGGGAUAACGUCUGGAAACGGACGCUAAUACCGCAUAACGUAUUCGGAUUGCAUGAUUUGAAUACCAAAGAUUUAUUGCGCAAGGAUGGGCUCGCGUCUGAUUAGCUAGUUGGUGAGGUAAACGGCCCACCAAGGCGACGAUCAGUAGCCGACCUGAGAGGGUGAUCGGCCACAUUGGAACUGAGAAACGGUCCAAACUCCUACGGGAGGCAGCAGUGGGGAAUAUUGGGCAAUGGGCGCAAGCCUGACCCAGCAACGCCGCGUGAAGGAAGAAGGUCUUCGGAUCGUAAACUUCUAUCCUUGGUGAAGAUAAUGACGGUAGCCGAGAAGGAAGCCCCGGCUAACUACGUG